RNAcentral lists this unclassified non-coding RNA (1726 nucleotides) under Leguminivora glycinivorella. RNAcentral describes it as "zinc finger CCHC domain-containing protein 7, transcript variant X3". Lineage: Eukaryota; Metazoa; Arthropoda; Insecta; Lepidoptera; Tortricidae. The record is from RNAcentral.
ACGAAAUGGAGUGCGAUUAGGACGUGUCCGUAAUAAAUAAUUAAACAUCCUUUUUAUUUACUUGUAAUGCUCUUAGCACUUCAAUAGUAAUACCAAACACUGCUUUCGAUUAUGUUCAUUUCGUGCAAAGUUUUGUUCGACCCAAAUUUGCUGCGGAAAUAUGGAAGAGGAACUUAACGAAAAUGAUUUGGAGGAGCGGCUGUAUGCUAUGAUCCAUCAUGUAGACGGGACGCAAGCAGAUGAGAUCGCACAACAGAGCCAUGACGCAAGUCCGCGUGUUGACGAUACGCCGCGAAGCACCGUAAGGCGCUACUGGCGUACAAAUCAUAACAGCGCGUUUCAAAAAGUAAACACGCCUAAAGACGCUCCGACCAACAGAAACACGCCCUACAACAACAAGACACCUGCUGUUGUAAACAAAAACACUCCUGUGCCCGUCAACAACAGUCAUGCAGCCGCUGCCGUCUCCGACACUAAACCGAAAGAGGAGAAAGACGCACCCGACUCACCACCAGCUGGCCUGUUCAUAUUACAGAACACUGCUCCUCAGAGUUACACAAAAAUAGUUGAAAUAUUAGAUAUUGAUGAAAGACCAAAGGUUUUCGAACUACAGUCAAGCGAUGAGGAUGAAGUUGUUGAAGUUGCUUUACCACCCAAGCCCACCAUCACUAUUGAGAGCUCUGAUGAAGAUGAACUGAUUAUCCAAAAUGAUAAAAACAUCACUGAAAAAGGCAAGAACAGCUCUAAAGAAAAUAAGUCACCAAACAAAAAUAAAAGAGAUGUAUCAUCAAGUCCGGUUCCAUCAGUUCAGUCAUCUAUGUCUGAUGAUUUCAUCCGUGGGGACUGCAUAGCUCUCAACAUAUCCUCAGCACAGCCGACCAAUGAAAGUUUUGACUUCAGCUUGCACGGAUCAGAUCUCAUUGGAGAUUCAACUCCUGCCAAGAAGAAGAAGAAAAAGAAAUCUAAAGACAGGUUGACAUCAACUCCCAUCAACCCUGAACAGAAAGUUCAGGAGUUGAGUAAUGCUGACAACAUUUUUGCCACACCAAAGAGUAAAGCAAAAAACAAGAAACCCAAGACAAAGUCUUAUACUGUGUCUGAGAAAAUCAUUCCAAACCCAGAUGUGUAUGAUUCUGACAGCAAUCAGUCUACUACAGACUUAAAUAAAAAUCAUGAUGCAUACGCUGUUACAGAUAAAAGCUUCCCGUGUGCUGAUGUUUACGAAUCAGACUCGAGCGUGUCUGAAUGUAUCAAGGUGGUGGAAAAACAGCCGGCACCACAGAAGAAAGCAAAUGUAAAUGAUAUUUCUGACAAUGAUGUAUCCACAGAAUUAUCAAAAACUAUAAAUACAACAGACAAGACCAUUGUUGUGGACCUGACAAGUGACUACACUACCCUUGAUAGUACUCACAUUGAAGAGAACAUUGUUAUUGCUAAUAUAACUGGUUAUUCAGAUGUGCAUGAAUAUGGAGACAGUAUUGAGAACACAACUCGUGAAGACCUUGGAGAAUUCUGUUCAACGAAAGUACCGCAGAUAUUGUAUGAAGACCUGGACUUUGACAACCUGAAGGGGAAGGACAAAGUGUGUAAGCGCGACGGUACUCGCUGACUACACUGCGGGCUGAGAUGGACAAGUUUUACAAUGAAAGCUGGGGUGGCGAGAAUUUCAACCAUCAGGAGAUUCAGAAGAACAUGUCACGAGAUAAGAGCUUGUGGGUGAUCGACC